This 931-nucleotide ribosomal RNA is filed under the name uncultured Tulasnellaceae. RNAcentral's name for it is "eukaryotic LSU rRNA". The stretch from base 332 to 931 matches the Rfam family "Eukaryotic large subunit ribosomal RNA", at positions 1 to 523 of the family's 3401-position model. The record is from RNAcentral. Lineage: Eukaryota; Fungi; Basidiomycota; Agaricomycetes; Cantharellales; Tulasnellaceae.
UGCGAUAAGUGGUGUGAUACGCUAGUUCACAACUUACAAGUGAACCAUCGAGUCCUCGAACGCAUUGCACCGCCCUUUAUGGGAGUGGUAUGUCGGAUUGAGCGUCAUGCAUGAUAAGACUUUGGUCAUUUGUGGGGUCACCCACAUCUGCUCCAUCUCGAGGUCUGCGGCACUGGUCGUGUUCCUUUGGAUCAAUGAGCUAUACCUCCUGGUUGGGCAUUCCCUCCAUGCUAAUGCUGCUGGAGCUAGGCCAAGCCAGUGUGGGUGAGCUUCAAGCUGGCCUUCUUGGGCUGCACAACCUGUGCAAAGGCAAUCCCUUGCCAAUGCUUGCUGACCUCAGUCCGAUAGGAUUACCCGCUCGAUUUAAGCAUAUUAAUCAGCGGAGGAAAAGAAACUAACAAGGAUUUCCUCAGUAACUGCGAGUGAACAGGAACCAGCUCAACGUGUGAAUCCCACAGGCUUUGUCUGCUGGGAGUUGUGCACUAAGGAUGCGUCGUCUGCGUUGGUUUGGCUCACCUAAGUCGGAUGAAAUGCCGUGCCAGAGAGGGUAACAGCCCCGUUCAUGGUGAUCGCCUGCCAGCUGCUUUUAUGACACGCGCUCCACGAGUCGUGUAGUUUCGAAGUACUGCACUAAUAUGGGAGGUAGGAUCCUUCCAAAGCUAAAUAUGGCGACGUGACCGAUAGCAUACUAGUACCGCGAGGGAACGGUGAAAAGGAUCUMUUAUGCAGACCUUGAAACAGACGUGAAAGUGCUUCAGGGAUAAGGGUUGUCCGAGCCUAGAUUUUGUUGAUGCGUGCUUCAGUGCUGCUCAGCGCAACGGCCAGCGGGCAUUGGCACUCACCGUACCUCGUGCAACUGGAACGUCCCACGCGGGCUUGCUUGUGUGGUGNCUGGCCAAACGUGCUUGGGGUGGGNUUGAUGGCCUGUCCA